AGUGAACGCUGGCGGUAGGCCUAACACAUGCAAGUCGAACAGCAGCACAGUAAGAGCUUGCUCUUACGGGUGGCGAGUGGCGGACGGGUGAGGAAUACAUCGGAAUCUACUUUUUCGUGGGGGAUAACGUAGGGAAACUUACGCUAAUACCGCAUACGACCUACGGGUGAAAGCAGGGGAUCUUCGGACCUUGCGCGAUUGAAUGAGCCGAUGUCGGAUUAGCUAGUUGGCGGGGUAAAGGCCCACCAAGGCGACGAUCCGUAGCUGGUCUGAGAGGAUGAUCAGCCACACUGGAACUGAGACACGGUCCAGACUCCUACGGGAGGCAGCAGUGGGGAAUAUUGGACAAUGGGCGCAAGCCUGAUCCAGCCAUACCGCGUGGGUGAAGAAGGCCUUCGGGUUGCAAAGCCCUUUUGUUGGGAAAGAAAAGCAGCAGGUUAAUACCCCGCUGUUCUGACGGUACCCAAAGAAUAAGCACCGGCUAACUUCGUG
Molecule: ribosomal RNA, 492 nt
Filed under: uncultured bacterium
Lineage: Bacteria
Description: partial 16S ribosomal RNA
Rfam family: Bacterial small subunit ribosomal RNA
Source: RNAcentral